GUCGGGGUGUGUAUCACGUGGGCUGUUCAAACGCCGAGAAACCGUAAGCCACCCAUUCACGGGACUACACAGGGAGGAGGGUUGCUAUCACUGAGAAGCAAAUGGUUGGCAGUGAUGAUAAUAGGAAGAAAUUCCCUAAAGACUAUGAAAAAGGACUUCAGAGUCUUGGGGUGACAGGUAAAGGGUUCGGGAGUACAAGUUGUGUUCUCCUCUAUCCCUCCAGUUAUAGGGAACAAUGAGGGACUAAAACUGAUGGGCCAAUGGAUUAAUACCUGGCUCCAAGCCUGGUGUUCCUGGCAGGGGUUUGUGUUUUUUGACCUCUGCUCUGUUUGCAUGAGACCAGGCCAGCUGGGAACCUAUAGGAGUAGCUUCUCCCACUGGUGGAUAGGGGCCUUAAGACAGGAGUUGGGAAGGUUCAUUCAUAGAGCUUUAAACUAGGUAUGAAGGGAGGUGGGGGUGUAACUGGGGUCACUAGAACGGAGCCUGUAUGUAACAUCUCAGUGCUUGUAGAAGAGGGAUGUGAUAGUAAGAUCCCCCAGUCUUGUGUCUCGGUGAAGGAGGAUGACUCCUUUUGUAGGAAGAACACAAGGGUUGAUGUGAGGUUGGUGGCUGUGGAAACACCUGAGUAUCGUCAUGAGGGUAUUAGGGCACCUGCCACUCAAAAGGAGGCCCAGCUCAGGUACCUUUACACUAACGCACACAGCACGAGUAAUAAACAGGAGGAGCCGGAGGCCACUGUGUGGUCGGAAAGCUAUGAUACAGUCACCAUCAUGGAAACAUGGUGGAAUGGCUCGCACAGCUGGCAUGCUAUGAUGGAUGGCUCCCGACUUUUCAAAAGAGACAGGCAAGACAGGAAGGGUGGUGGUGUAGCCUUCUAUGUUAAGAAUGUGAACAUAUGGAAACUAAUGAUGAUGAUGAUAGGGUUGAGAACUUAUGGGUCAGAAUAAAAGCAAAGGCCAAUAAGACUGAUAUUAUCAUGGGAGUCUGCUACAGGCCAUCCAGCCAGGAUGAAGAGGUGGACAAGACACUUUAUAGACAGUUGGGUGAGGUCUCAAGGUUUCUCCCCCUUGUUCUUACGGGGGACUUCAACUUCCCAGACAUCUGCUGGAUUUAUAAUACAGCAGAUAAAUAACAGUCCUGGAGGUUCCUAGAGAGUGUGGGAGAUAACUUCCUGACACAGCUGGUGAGGGAGCCAAUGAGGGGAAGCAAAAUCCUGGACCUGCUGUUUGUUAACAGAGAAGGUCUUGUGAGGGAUGUAAAGGUUGGAGGCCAUCUGGGGCAUAGUGAUCAUGAGAAGCUAGAUUUCUUGAUCCUUGUUGAAACCACAGAGGGGAGUCAACAGAACUGUCACCUUGGACUUCGGGAGGGCAGACUUAAACCUCUUUAGGACCAUGGUUGAGAGGGUCCCUUGGGAGUAGUUUUGAAGAACGUGGGAGCCCAGGAAGGCUGGGAAUACUUUAAGGAAGUUAUUUUAGAGGUGCAGGAGCUGACCAUCCUCAAGUCACAGAAGACAAAUCGACGAGCAAAGAGGCCACACUGGCUGAACAGAGACCUUUGGCUGGAUCUCAAGAACAAAAAGAAAGUUUAUGGUCUCUGAAAGAGUAGGCAAGCUACUUAUGAUGAUUACAGGUAUGUAGUGAAGCUGUGCAGGGAGAAAAUUAGAAAAGCCAAAGCCCAGCUAGAACUGAACUUGGCCACUAAGGUAAAGGAAAACAAUAAAUAUUUUUAUAAAUACAUCAACAGCAAGAGGAGAGCUAGGGAGAAUCUCCAUCCCUUGUUGUAUGCCGAAGGCAAUUUGGUGACACAAGGAUCAGGAUGAGGCUGAGGUACUUAAUGCCUUCUUUGUCUCAGUCUUUAAUAGUAAGACUUGUUAUGCCCUGGGAACACAGCCUCCUGUGCUGGUAGGUAGGGAGGGGGAACAGAAUAAGCCCUGCAUGAUCCAUGAUGAGGUGGUUUUGGACCUGCUCCAAAAGCUGGAUGCUCACAAGUCCAUUGGGCUGGAUGGACUGCACCUUGGAGUGCUGAGGGAGUUGGUGGAUGUGGUUGCCAAGCCACUCUCCAUCAUUCUCCCGCAGUCCUGGCUAACCGGGGAUGUCCCAGCAGACUGUAGACUGGCAAAUGUGACACCCAUCUUCAGAAAGAGCUGGAAAAAUGAUCCUGCUAGCUACAGACCUAUCAGUUUCACCUCGGUGCCGGGGAAUGUUAUGGAAUGGAUAAUCUCAGGACUCAUCAUGGACCAGUAAAGGUCAACCAGGGGAUCAGGCCCAGUCAGCAUGGGUUUACAAAUGGUAGAUCCUGUCUGACAAACCUGAUUUCAUUCCAUAACAAGGUGACACACUUGGUGGAUGAAGGUAAGGCUGUCGAUGUGGUUUACCUGGACUUCAGUAAGGCCUUUGACACUGUUCCCCACAACAUCCUCGUGGAGAAGCUGGCUGCCCACAGUUUGGAUGGGCAUUCGCUCUGUUGGGUGAAACAUUGGCUGGAUGGCUGGGCCAAAAGAGCUGUGGUCAGUGGAGUUAAAUCCAGUUGGUGACCAGUCAUGAGUGGUGUCCCCCACAGCUCAGUACUGGGGCUGCUUCUAUUUAAUAUCUUUAUUAAUGAUCUUGAUGAGGGGAUUGAUGACUCUUUGUCUCGCUCCAAUUUAUAGGAGGGAGAGGAGGUUCUUUGAAAUAUGUAUGCCCGGCGUGAGAUUAAGAAACAACGGUUCAAAUGUUGGUCCGACC
This 2723-nucleotide long non-coding RNA is filed under the name Gallus gallus (chicken). Its description in RNAcentral is "lncRNA (ENSGALG00010004360.1)". Lineage: Eukaryota; Metazoa; Chordata; Aves; Galliformes; Phasianidae. The record is from RNAcentral.